Podarcis raffonei (Aeolian wall lizard) is the source of this 2930-nucleotide long non-coding RNA. RefSeq lists it as uncharacterized. The transcript is spliced from 11 exons. Lineage: Eukaryota; Metazoa; Chordata; Lepidosauria; Squamata; Lacertidae. The record is from RefSeq and is a predicted model, not a curated record.
UAAACCGAUAAAUUAACACCGUGAGGGCUACCCUCUCUCUUUCUGUCAAACAACUGUAGGUGAUCUUUUCCCCCCUGCCCUGGAAAAAACAACAAUCCCUCACGCAAUCCAGUUACCGGUUGUCUAGCUGGCAAAUGCAGUCUGUAACACCUGUGCAACAGAUACACACAGAUGUACAUAUCCGGCUGUCAAUCCAUCUGUGGAAGGCACUGGAUGGAACAGUUUGUCUUUGAAGAGGUGGAAAGGAGGGCAGAUUCAUAUACACCACAGCUAAGGAAUCUGUUUUCUCCCUCUGCUCAUUGUUUAUAUAUUGUGUUCUGUUCAUAUUUUGUCUCUGUCGUUCUAGGACCGUGCAGGUAACUGCAACUGAGGCAAUAUAGCCAGAGACUCACAGAGCUAGUGGGAUCUGUUCUGUGGCUAGCAAAACUUAACAAGCUUUCCUGUGAUUGAAGAGACAUGUGUGAAGACCGUCUUAGUCCUUGCUGUUAAGAUAUUGUUAUGGAGCAAGGUAGAUCUGCACUGAAGACGUCAGGCGGAGUGGGGCAGUCAUGGCCUCCAGCCAUCUCUUCAGCCUUCCUCUAUAUACCCUGUUAUCAAACCAUCAGGAAGCAGGUCUUCUGUUGCCACACGUUGAGUCAAUGUUUUCUGUGUUUCGCCAAACUGGCGAGUUUUGAUCAUCAGAAAACAUCCUUACAAGGAAGCUUGUUACUGCACAGUUGGUAUCCAGUCAGAGACUGAGUUUAAGAACUGUCUCAUUUUAGAUGGCAGCUGUCAAAUGGUGGAGAGCUUUCAACCCAGCUGGAAGAACCAGGAGAUGUUUCCAAAAGGGCACAAGAGGUCUCGCAUUUAGGGGCCAUGAAACCAAAUCAGAAGAGCUGAGAGAGAUGAGUGAUAGAAACGGAAAAAAGAAGCUGCAAGAUAAUAAACAUGGCAGCAAAAUGAUGCAGAUACCAUCUCAUCAGAAGGUCCAUUCCAUUCCGUCCAGUGAAGGAAUCGUGCUUGGUUCUCCCUUUGCAACACUUACCUGGGCCAUGAUGUCAGAUUCACAACAUUCAGUGUUCUAUGCCCACAGCAGCCAGUGAUACAGAGCAAGGACAGGGAAGUGAGGUCACAACACAAGGCAAAUGUUAGCCACGUCCCCAGCAUUUGAAAAAUGCAGCUGAUAUGGAUGCUGAAGUGAAAAUAGAAGCUGAAAUGCAUUUUUGUCCCAUUGCUGGAAGCCUGCAACACGCUGGAACUUGCUGGAACUCAGUUCCGUCACUUCUCAGGCGGGUGCCGUUGCCAUUAUAAGAGAGCAAGGGAGACGUUCACGGCACUGGAGCCCUUUCUUCGUAUUCUCCUUGGUGGUGUUCAGGGAAUGCUUGUCAUAGUGUUACUGAUGUACCCCUGCCCCCAUGUGGCCACAGAAGUGACAGUAACACAACACACUGCCAUCUUCACUUGGCCUCCUGGGAGAUAUUUUAACAUUGGAUUUGUUCCAGCUUUGCUGAGGGUUGAUGCCAGCCGUUGUUACAACAAAUUCACCUGCCUACGCAGACUACUGCUAAUUAGCAACGUCAGUCUCACAGAAGCAGCACCUGCGGGAAGGGAUCCUUAGCCAGAAGCUGGGAUGCUGAAAAAGUGAAGGAUGGCUACAUGAGAAAUGCACACUGGCUGCCUGCAGAUUGAAGGAUAUAACUCCAAACUGCUUGGCGGAGAGUUUUUCCACAUAGCAUGGACAUUCUUGGUGGCAUGCUCCUUGGUUGAUAAAGCAUGAGGAUGAUUUCAGUUCACUUAAUUAAUACAACAGGAUGGCUGAGAUCAGCAAUAAGGCUGGAACCCCAAUAAUGGACCAUGCAUGCAAGUGGAAGGAGCUUAGAUCCAGACGUGCUUUUUCAAAGGGAAGUCUGGAAGGGAGAAGGAGGUGAUUUCUGCCAAUUGCUCCUUCCCCCAACAGCCCCUCCCAUUCUCACCUCUCACCCAUGCUAUUCCCCAGUAUUUCAGGGCAAAUUUGUGGGGAAUUGGUACAGGGAAGCUCAGUUCAGCUGGAAUCCUGCAUAGGCUCAUGAGCUAUGUGACCACUUUGGUUUUGCUCUACAUACAAUGAGCACGAUGGCAGUGCAAAGUAACAGAGGAAGAAAACCUUGGCUUCAGCUAAACAACCUCUCCAAACAGCAAGAGCAUGGUGAACAAAUGCAUGUGAAAGCCUAAUUAGUUCCUGGAACCUCUGUCAUGUCUAAUGUAAGCAUAUGCCUCUGUUCAGUCAUUAAUUAACCCUGGUGAGAAUAAAUGGCUUCCUUCUGAACAUUUUCUUCUACUGGUAACCGGAUUAAAUGCUAGUUUGCAUUCCCUGGAAAAGCACCAAUGCCUCUUCCCAUGUGGAACCCUUUGUCACUUGGAAAGGUGUUCCGAUUGGCUAAAAAAUCCUGCUUGACCAGUUGUGCAACUCUGCAGUGGACAACUUCUUGUUAUUGCUGCUAACAACUCAUUACUUAUGUCCCUUUGUCAUUUAGUAUCUCCCAGAAUGUCAUUUAGCAUCUCUUACAAAAUGCAAGAGCACUCUGUCUCUCACAAAAUGAUCCUUUCUCUUAGCAACUGUCAACCAUCGGGAAACCUCUUUCCUAUAAUUGGGCAUCCCCCAGACACCAAAAUUGUUUGGCUUCUUUGAUUCCCCAGGAGGCUGCUGUAGGUGUGUCUCUUUUCUUCAAGCUAUCUCAACGCUAUAGAUGCCUAGGACAGCAGACCUCUCUUCACUUACAGCUAGAUCCUUUCUCUGGUCUCCUCUCUCCAUCUUCUUGUCUCUCUACCAUGUUUGUUGUUUCUCUUAUGGAAACACCAACUUAGGUUUCUCCCUUAAGGAAACUUUCUGUUUUUGGAGCCACUUUAGGAGGGUUCUAGGAAACCCAGCACUGGUGAUGGUACUUAGCUCAAGGGCAAACUAUGAAGGCACC